AGACGCACAGCACCAGCUGCCACUUGGGCACGCCUAGAUCGUGCAUCCCUGAACUGGAGUGCAACUCCAGCACCGCGCGGCUGGUGACACAGAGUGACAACCGUUAACCACCUUGAAACACACGACAUGUGAAUGGGCGACCUGAACGUUGGUGUAAAUGCUGAACGUAUCGUGAUAUGCCGUGCAUUUCUACCAUCAUCGAAACGCCUCAAAGUCUGGAACACUUCG
Molecule: long non-coding RNA, 228 nt
Organism: Ornithodoros turicata
Lineage: Eukaryota; Metazoa; Arthropoda; Arachnida; Ixodida; Argasidae
Exons: 3
Source: RefSeq, a predicted model, not a curated record